UUUUUAGGGCCGCACCUACGGCAUAUGGACGUUCUCAGGCUAGGGGCUGAUUCAGAGCUGCAGCUGCUGGCCUACACCACAGUCACAGCAAUGCCAGAUCCGAGCCAUAUCAGCAGCUUACACCACAGCUCACAGCAACACUGGGUCAUAGUAACCUAGAGGGUCCAGAGCUCUCAGAUACAGAUACUGGCUCAGUGGUAAUGAACCCAACUAGUAUCUCUGAGGAUGUGGGUUUAAACCCUGGCCUCGCUCAGUGGGUUAAGGAUCUGGCGUUGCCAUAAGCUGCCAUGAAGGUCCCAGAUGCAGCUCAGACCCCACGUUGCUGUGGCUGUGGUGUAGACCUACAGCUGCAGCUACAAUUCCUAGCCUGGGAACUGCCAUAUGCUGCGGGUGCAGCCCUAAAAAGACAGAGAGAUAAGAUAAAAUGCAGCCGGAGAGUAAAGCCUCACCUGUACAGCUGGAAUGGGGCCCAUCAAUCAGAGAUGAUUCUUUGGGGUGGGGGUGGGGGAAGGGUGGUGAAACUGAUUUGGUUUUUGUGUUUAGAGGUUUUUGUGGUUGUCCUUGUUGCUGUUCAGUGGAAAUAUCAAGUGAAAGUCAAAUGGGAAAAAGGUACAUUUUGAGCCAAUUUGCUUCCUCAUCCCUUGGCACACUGAUGAAGGUAUUCACCCCCAGGGGCAUAAUUGUUCUUCACUUGUGACUUUGUUGUAGAGGAAACUUUUGUUUCCAGAGGCGCAGGCUACACAGCACGGAGUGGAAUAGAAAUAUGGCGAUUAUCCAGUUCAUUUACUUGCUGUACACAGCCAGACAAACCAAUCCAGGUAGCACGGGCUAUAAAAACAUCCGGAGGUGCCUGAAUUAUCCAGGUUCACGACUAACACUGCUCAGAUACACUGGAUCACAGCCAGGCUUGCACCUCGUUUUGUGCUUUUAAACAUAGUGCCAGGGGAACCUGCAGGGGCAGACUGUGAAGGGAAGGGGCAGGUAGAAGUAACCCCUGGACCCAGGUGACAUCUGAUGAGGGUGACAUUAGGCUUGGCGCAGCUCCAGCUGCACUGUCUGCAAAGCACUUGUCACAUGGAAGGCAGGGCGGCCUGCCAAAAUACAGACACCGGGACCAACCGAAGGAUAAUUGCUGUAAACUCCAUACAGAGAGUGAAGACAGAGAUGUCAGCAAAACAUGUCUCCUGGCUGGACAGCAGCACACACAGGACUGCAGGGUAGAGUUGGACAAGAAAGGGAAGAUUUUUUGAAAAGGCCAAAUUUGUUCAAAGCAGGUAUGGCAGGCCAGCUAGAAGACAUGUCAGUCAAGGACUAGACUCUCCUCUCAGAGGUACUUCUGUCACUUGACCAUGACAGCUUCUCAAAACUAAGUAGAAGGAAAAAUUAUAGCAAGAUAUCCUCCAGGCAUGGUAUUGCUUCUGACUGCAAUUUAAGAAAAGGGGAGAUUAACCCAUGUUUGUUUGGCCCCUCCUAAGUGCCAGGUCUCUUUCUGGGUACCCUGCAAAUGUCUUGCAAAUGUGGCUAAUUUGGUGGAGGAGGUUGAACCUAGGGAUUGGCCACCCUUAAGGGGCUCUUGUUUGGACUUUAGGGAAUCCCUAAAUUUCCAAAAAUUGUAUGGAAAUGUGUGCAUGAAUUUUUUUUCCCCCCUGGAGAAGACACCAUGGCUUUCAUCAGAUUCUCCAACCACAAGAUCAGGAAUUACAGUUACCUGGACAAAUAAUGAAGGAUGAAGGAAUUGAGAUCUAUGGAACAUUCUCUGCCCAGCCCUGUACCUGGUGACAUCAUUUAAUGCCCCUCCCACCCCCAAGAUAAGUGGCAUUGUCCCCAUUUUACAGUUAAGAAAAAGUAAGGCCAAAAGAGGAUGGAAAGCCUUACCAAGUAAACAUGCCAGUAUCCGUAAGACCUGAAAUGUAAACUCAGACUCCACUGGUCCAAACCCGAUGCCUGUCUAGGAUACUAUGCUCCCUGGGUGUUUUAUUGGGAUGGGGAAGAAGGGAAAGAAUUCAUUCAGGGAGGCACCAAGGAAGACCAUUGUAACAUUUUAGCUGGCUCUUCUAGAAUGUGUUGAGUUGGGACAUCUCGAAGUAGAAGACAGGAAAUCCCAGGUGGAGGGGACAAGGUCAGAGGCAGAGCAGUGAGAAGGGACAAAACAUUGAGGGAGGAUGGCCCCCUCCCUCCUAUGGGGUCAGGGCUCUCCUAAAGGCUCAAGAGCCAAAAAACAGUCACAGGACCAAGUGCCUCCAGGAGUUAAACUUCAGGCCCACUUAGUUUUAAACUCCUGUCACCCAAACCCCAGCACAACCGGAGGAUAGCGACCCUUAGCAGAGACCCUGACAACAAGCCCAGGAACCGCUUAACACUCAGCAUCAAUUCAAACAAGUGCAUUUUUGUUUAUUUCUAAUGCAUCUUGAGCCGGGAGAGCAGCUUUACUGCAGGUCAGGAAGAAGCCAAGAGCUUACCCAGAGCGGCUGGCGUCCACACAGCAACACGCAGCCUCUCGAGAAGUAAAAGAUCAUCCAUUAAGUGUUCGGGUUUAAUGCAUUUCCAUUCCCCCCAAGAUGCUCCUGUCUCAUUAUAAAUAAUAUCCAGAGUAAAAUAUCCCAUGUGCGCCCCAACACAUUUAAUCAGGCUUUCAGAGGCGCAUGGACUCUACUGUGGGCUCUUGCUGCCUCCUGAAAUGGAAAAGCACGCAUAUGAGCAUGGAAUCCCAUGCAACUGAAUUGUGGUUUUAAAUCCUGUGAUUAGCAGACUGCACAGUCUUGUCCCAGUGUGCUUGCCCCCCUCUCCCUAGCCUUGGAGACACAACAUACACCUCUUUGGACCAUCAGCAGCAGCCACACUUUCUUCAGCCCUGGUGUUAUUUUUAGCACUUGACUCUAUAAAGGAACAAUUUCACAAGCAUUAUUAAGGCUCAGGUUACAACUCCAACCAAAUCUUCUCAUUGCUUGUAAAUGAAUUCAAGUAUAUCAUAGCCCAAACCUCUGCAGACUCCCUGGAUGGGAAUUCUUGAGAUUUUAUUCCCCAUAAAUAGAAAGUCAAAAAACAUUAAAGGAUAAAGGUACAGGUUAUUCAUCUUGUCUCAGCAGAUCAUAAGUUCCUCGAGGGCAGGGAGAGGUUAUUUGGCUGAUUGAUUUAAUAUUUAUUGAGUCAUAACUAUCUUCGUGGACCAUAGAAAUAAAUCCAUCAAUGCACUUCAUUACAAGAAAAAGCAUUGCCGUCUCUAGACAGGACCAAGAAGCAUUCUCUUUGAUGCCUUCUUUCCUUUAUACUGAUUAACAACUUGAAAGAGCAGCUUCUGUUCUAAAAAAUAUAUGUGUAGAAAACACUGUGUCCUCUAUUGCAUAAACCUGGAAUAAAAGAUCCUCCCUCUCCGAAAUAACUUGGUGGUAGGAAACAGUGUUGCUGCUGGAGACAGAGGCAGAGGAACAUGUCAUCCCUGAAAACACUUCACUUUCAAAGCACAUGAUUUCAAACGUCCUGUGUGAUUAGGAGAUUUCAGACUUAGUAUUCCUCAAACCAUGCUUUGGACUGAAAUGGAUGGGCUCCACAAGGAAACUUAAAAAUAAUUUUUUUUAAACACACCCCAAAAGCAGACAAAUUUCUACCAGCAUUACUACCAAGGUCAGGAAAUAUGUGCCCAUAAAUCCAUUAUUUGUGGGUGCCAGCCCAUCACCCUAAAGUGCUAUUUUUAGGCAGGGGGGAAACAACACGGAAAAAAUGGUGGCUGCAUGUCCCUGUCCCCACACCAACGGGCACCAGGACCGUCUACCAGAGGAGCACACCCCAGAGUUCCGGAAUCACUGUGAGCCCAGGGGCAGCAUGGGAUCCAUCCAGUGUGGAUGCCAUUUUGUAAACACAUCUAAUUUGGUUUUAAAUUUUAAUCCAUAAAGUCAUCACUGAAGGACUCCAGGCUGCUGAAAUGAUGAACCAACUGCUUCUAAAGCAGACGCAAAGGCACCAGACCAGUCAAGGGCUUUCUGUCCUGGCUCCCUUCAUUGCCUCCUGUAUUCCUCUUGUCUCUCAUUUCCUUCUCAGCAGUGUGCUGACUUUCUGGUGCAUGGGCUUCCGCUCACCAAAGAUUCUCUGUGGCUACCCAGCUGUCCUCUCUGUGUCCCUGUGUCUCUCUGAGUGCCUGUCCAUCUGUGUGUAUCUCUCUGUCUCUCCCUGUCUCUCUUCCAUACACAUAUACACACACUGAGGUCCUUUGCCUUUUUCUGACCCUGUAUUCCAGUCACUGCCUCCUCUACUCUUCCAAUUUGAUCUACUUCUCUAACAUAAACAUUGUUCUUUAACAAAGAGAUCAGGCUGAGUUUGGAGGAAAGAAAUUAUCUUAAAGAGCUGAUGGCAGGAAACAUGGCUGACUGACAAAAGGACUGACUGAAAGCAGCUCUUUUGCCUCUUUUCUUUCUGCCCAUUUCUGUUCCCCUCUAACCUUAAAAGAACCUAAUUAGGAGUUCUUCUGCGGCUCAGCAGGUUAAGGAUGCAGUGUUGUCACAGUAGUGGCCCAGGUAGCUGCUAUGGCACAGGUUCCAUCCCCAGCCCGGGAACUUCCAUAUGCCUUGGGUGUG
RNAcentral lists this long non-coding RNA (4568 nucleotides) under Sus scrofa (pig). RNAcentral's name for it is "lncRNA (ENSSSCG00000062553.1)". The record is from RNAcentral. Lineage: Eukaryota; Metazoa; Chordata; Mammalia; Artiodactyla; Suidae.